This 467-nucleotide ribosomal RNA is filed under the name uncultured bacterium. RNAcentral describes it as "bacterial SSU rRNA". It matches the Rfam family "Bacterial small subunit ribosomal RNA", at positions 29 to 505 of the family's 1533-position model. The record is from RNAcentral.
AGUGAACGCUGGCGGCGUGCUUAACACAUGCAAGUCGAACGAGAACGGAUUAUAGCUUGCUAUAAUUGUCAGCUAAGUGGCGCACGGGUGAGUAAUGUAUAGAUAACCUGCCCUCUAGAAAGGAAUAACAGUUGGAAACGACUGCUAAUGCCCUAUAUGCCUUUAAUACAUAAGUAUGCAAGGGAAACGCUUUAGUGCUAGAGGAUGGGUCUGUAUGGUAUCAGCUUGUUGGUGAGGUAAUGGCUCACCAAGGCUAUGACGCCUAACUGGUUUGAGAGGAUGAUCAGUCACACUGGAACUGAGACACGGUCCAGACUCCUACGGGAGGCAGCAGUGGGGAAUAUUGCACAAUGGACGAAAGUCUGAUGCAGCAACGCCGCGUGGAGGAUGACACAUUUCGGUGCGUAAACUCCUUUUAUAUAGGAAGAUAAUGACGGUACUAUAUGAAUAAGCACCGGCUAACUCCG